This 345-nucleotide unclassified non-coding RNA is filed under the name [Candida] sp. DMKU-RE28. Its description in RNAcentral is "Candida sp. DMKU-RE28 partial contains ITS1, 5.8S rRNA and ITS2". The stretch from base 51 to 203 matches the Rfam family "5.8S ribosomal RNA". Lineage: Eukaryota; Fungi; Ascomycota; Saccharomycetes; Saccharomycetales. The record is from RNAcentral.
AAAUACACACACACUUGGAAAACGUUUUUAAGAUCAAAAGCAGCAGUCAAAACUUUCAACAACGGAUCUCUAGGUUCUCGCAUCGAUGAAGAACGCAGCGAAAUGCGAUACGUAAUAUGAAUUGCAAGUCUUGUGAAUCAUCGAAUCUUUGAACGCACAUUGCGCUCUGGGGCAUUCCCCAGAGCAUGCCUGUAUGAGCGGUGUUUCUCUCUCGCAAGGUGAUGGGCCGCACGGCAAGUCGGCCCCAAAGACGCCGGGUCUAAUGUACUAGGCUUCAUUAACGCCCCAAUUUUAGUGUCACCCUCAUAUCAGGUAGGACUACCCGCUGAACUUAAGCAUAUCAAA